CCUACGGGUGGCAGCAGUGGGGAAUAUUGCACAAUGGUCGGAACCCUGAUGCAGCGACGCCGCGUGAGUGAAGAAGUAAUUCGUUAUGUAAAGCUCUAUCAGCCGGGAAGAAAAUGACGGUACCUGAGUAAGAAGCCCCGGCUAACUACGUGCCAGCAGCCGCGGUAAUACGUAGGGGGCAAUCGUUAUCCGGCUUUACUGGGUGUAAAGGGCGCGUAGAAGGCAGUGCAAGUCUGGAGGGAAAGGCGGGGGCUCAACCCCCGGACUGCUCUGGAAACUGUACGGCUGGAGUGCAGGAGAGGUAAGUGGAAUGCCCGGUGUAGCGGUGAAAUGCGUAGAUAUUAGGAGGAACACCAGUGGCGAAGGCGGCUUACUGGACUGUAACUGACGUUGAGGCUCGAAAGCGUGGGGAGCAAACAGGAUUAGAUACCCCUGUAGUC
Molecule: ribosomal RNA, 440 nt
Filed under: uncultured bacterium
Lineage: Bacteria
Description: partial 16S ribosomal RNA
Rfam family: Bacterial small subunit ribosomal RNA
Source: RNAcentral